This 372-nucleotide ribosomal RNA is filed under the name uncultured organism. RNAcentral describes it as "partial 16S ribosomal RNA". It matches the Rfam family "Bacterial small subunit ribosomal RNA", at positions 527 to 896 of the family's 1533-position model. The record is from RNAcentral.
GUAGGUGGCAAGCGUUGUCCGGAAUUAUUGGGCGUAAAGCGCGCGCAGGCGGUCCUUUAAGUCUGAUGUGAAAGCCCACGGCUCAACCGUGGAGGGUCAUUGGAAACUGGGGGACUUGAGUACAGAAGAGGAAAGCGGAAUUCCAAGUGUAGCGGUGAGAUGCGUAGAGAUUUGGAGGAACACCAGUGGCGAAGGCGGCUUUCUGGUCUGUAACUGACGCUGAGGCGCGAAAGCGUGGGGAGCAAACAGGGAUUAGAUACCCUGGUAGUCCACGCCGUAAACGAUGAGUGCUAAGUGUUAGGGGGUUUCCCGCCCCUUAGUGCUGCAGCUAACGCAUUAAGCACUCCGCCUGGGGAUACGGCCGCAAGGCUG